UACGAAGGGGACUAGCGUUGUUCGGAAUUACUGGGCGUAAAGCGCACGUAGGCGGAUUUGUAAGUCAGGGGUGAAAUCCCGGGGCUCAACCUCGGAACUGCCUUUGAUACUGCAAAUCUCGAGUCCGAUAGAGGUGGGUGGAAUUCCUAGUGUAGAGGUGAAAUUCGUAGAUAUUAGGAAGAACACCGGUGGCGAAGGCGGCUCACUGGCCCGGAACUGACGCUGAGGUGCGAAAGCGUGGGGAGCAAACAGG
Molecule: ribosomal RNA, 253 nt
Filed under: uncultured bacterium
Lineage: Bacteria
Description: partial 16S ribosomal RNA
Rfam family: Bacterial small subunit ribosomal RNA
Source: RNAcentral